RNAcentral lists this ribosomal RNA (619 nucleotides) under Bacillus sp. (in: firmicutes). Its description in RNAcentral is "bacterial SSU rRNA". It matches the Rfam family "Bacterial small subunit ribosomal RNA", at positions 60 to 660 of the family's 1533-position model. Lineage: Bacteria; Bacillati; Bacillota; Bacilli; Caryophanales; Bacillaceae. The record is from RNAcentral.
AGUCGAGCGAACUGAUUAGAAGCUUGCUUCUAUGACGUUAGCGGCGGACGGGUGAGUAACACGUGGGCAACCUGCCUGUAAGACUGGGAUAACUUCGGGAAACCGAAGCUAAUACCGGAUAGGAUCUUCUCCUUCAUGGGAGAUGAUUGAAAGAUGGUUUCGGCUAUCACUUACAGAUGGGCCCGCGGUGCAUUAGCUAGUUGGUGAGGUAACGGCUCACCAAGGCAACGAUGCAUAGCCGACCUGAGAGGGUGAUCGGCCACACUGGGACUGAGACACGGCCCAGACUCCUACGGGAGGCAGCAGUAGGGAAUCUUCCGCAAUGGACGAAAGUCUGACGGAGCAACGCCGCGUGAGUGAUGAAGGCUUUCGGGUCGUAAAACUCUGUUGUUAGGGAAGAACAAGUACGAGAGUAACUGCUUGUACCUUGACGGUACCUAACCAGAAAGCCACGGCUAACUACGUGCCAGCAGCCGCGGUAAUACGUAGGUGGCAAGCGUUAUCCGGAAUUAUUGGGCGUAAAGCGCGCGCAGGCGGUUUCUUAAGUCUGAUGUGAAAGCCCACGGCUCAACCGUGGAGGGUCAUUGGAAACUGGGGAACUUGAGUGCAGAAGAGAAAA